This 132-nucleotide small RNA is filed under the name Escherichia coli. Its description in RNAcentral is "RtT sRNA". It matches the Rfam family "RtT RNA". Rfam says of the family: This family represents a bacterial cis-regulatory element known as RtT RNA. The exact function of RtT is unknown although it is thought that it may be involved in changing the cellular response in relation to amino acid starvation. Lineage: Bacteria; Pseudomonadati; Pseudomonadota; Gammaproteobacteria; Enterobacterales; Enterobacteriaceae. The record is from RNAcentral.
GUUUGCACUCAUCGGGGAAGGAUGAGAAGCUUCGACUAAGGUUCGACUCGAGCGCCAGCGAGAGAGCGUUGCCGCAGGCAACGACCCGAAGGGUGAGGAGCGAAGCGACGAAUAAUCCUUCCCCCACCACCA